AAACUUUCCACAACGGAUCUCUUGGUUCUGGCAUCCAUGAAAAACGCCACGAAAUGCGAUAAAUAAUGGGAAUUGCAGAAUUCAGUGAAUCCUCCAAUCCUUGAACGCACAUUGCGCCCCUUGGUAUUCCCAGGGGCAUGCCUGUUCCAGCGUCCUUU
This 158-nucleotide ribosomal RNA is filed under the name Cercospora sesami. RNAcentral's name for it is "5.8S ribosomal RNA". It matches the Rfam family "5.8S ribosomal RNA". Rfam says of the family: 5.8S ribosomal RNA (5.8S rRNA) is a component of the large subunit of the eukaryotic ribosome. The record is from RNAcentral. Lineage: Eukaryota; Fungi; Ascomycota; Dothideomycetes; Mycosphaerellales; Mycosphaerellaceae.